CCCUUAGAUGUUCUGGGCCGCACGCGCGCUACACUGAUGCAUUCAACGAGUUCCUACCUUGGCCGAGAGGCCUGGGCAAUCUUUUGAACUUGCGUCGUGAUAGGGAUAGAUUAUUGCAAUUAUUAAUCUUGAACGAGGAAUUCCUAGUAAACGCAGAUCAUCAAUCUGCAUUGAUUACGUCCCUGCCCUUUGUACACACCGCCCGUCGCACCUACCGAUUGAAUGGUCCGGUGAAGCCUCGGGAUUGUGGUUAGUUUCCUUCAUUGGAAGUUAGCCGCGAGAACUUGUCUAAACCUUAUCAUUUAGAGGAAGGUGAAGUCGUAACA
RNAcentral lists this ribosomal RNA (326 nucleotides) under uncultured eukaryote. RNAcentral describes it as "partial 18S ribosomal RNA". It matches the Rfam family "Eukaryotic small subunit ribosomal RNA", at positions 1470 to 1796 of the family's 1831-position model. The record is from RNAcentral.